Molecule: long non-coding RNA, 345 nt
Organism: Mycetomoellerius zeteki
Lineage: Eukaryota; Metazoa; Arthropoda; Insecta; Hymenoptera; Formicidae
Exons: 3
Source: RefSeq, a predicted model, not a curated record
GAAUUCCUUUUCCGAUAAAUAGCAAUCUCUAGAGAUAAAGCUCCAAUGGUCUUAUGGUAAGGCAAAGUUAUCUCCCAAUUGUAAAAAGUUCUGUACAUUGGGAGGUAUGGAAACACUUGACAGAUUCACGAACCAGCCAUUCCUUGGUGAGGAAAACGAUGGAGGAGGAAUCAAUGGGAGAAAAGGCUGAGGAUCAAUCUGUAUCUCUCUAACUAUUCCACCAGUAGAAUUCUGUACCUUAGGGUACAACGACAACAUUCCCAUUCGCCACUCCAUCACUGCAAUGGACAGCAUCGGUAGAGACAGACACAUGGACUUAACAUGCAGACGGAUAUGGAGGGGCUU